AACCGGGUACGAUUCAAAGGGCAGUCGCUCAACCCCGCCAGGCCCGGAAGGGAGCAACGGCAAGCGUUCUGUUUUUGUGAAUUUGCUAUCCGGUUGGA
This 98-nucleotide signal recognition particle RNA is filed under the name Spirochaetota bacterium. RNAcentral's name for it is "Spirochaetes bacterium (marine sediment metagenome) signal recognition particle sRNA small type". It matches the Rfam family "Bacterial small signal recognition particle RNA". Rfam says of the family: The signal recognition particle (SRP) is a universally conserved ribonucleoprotein involved in the co-translational targeting of proteins to membranes. Archaeal SRP consists of a 7S RNA and homologues of the eukaryotic SRP19 and SRP54 proteins. In most bacteria, the SRP consists of a 4.5S RNA and the Ffh protein (a homologue of the eukaryotic SRP54 protein). Lineage: Bacteria; Pseudomonadati; Spirochaetota. The record is from RNAcentral.